CGCGUAGGUGGUAGUGCAAGUCUGAGGUGGAAUCCCAGGGCUUAACCCUGGAACUGCCUUGGAAACUGCAUUACUUGAGUCAGUGAGGGGAGGGUAGAAUUCCUGGUGUAGCGGUGAAAUGCGUAGAUAUCAGGAGGAAGGCCGGUGGCGAAGGCGGCCCUCUGGCGCUGAACUGACACUGAGGCGCGAAAGCGUGGGGAGCAAACAGGAUUAGAUACCCUGGUAGUCCACGCCCUAAACGGUGGGUACUAGGUGUAGGGCUCGUAAGGGUUCUGUGCCGAAGCGAAGCAUUAAGUACCCCGCCUGGGGAGUACGGCCGCAAGGUUGAA
RNAcentral lists this ribosomal RNA (329 nucleotides) under uncultured bacterium. RNAcentral's name for it is "bacterial SSU rRNA". It matches the Rfam family "Bacterial small subunit ribosomal RNA", at positions 568 to 898 of the family's 1533-position model. The record is from RNAcentral.